This 1403-nucleotide ribosomal RNA is filed under the name Helicobacter canadensis. RNAcentral's name for it is "bacterial SSU rRNA". It matches the Rfam family "Bacterial small subunit ribosomal RNA". The record is from RNAcentral. Lineage: Bacteria; Pseudomonadati; Campylobacterota; Epsilonproteobacteria; Campylobacterales; Helicobacteraceae.
CGCUGGCGGCGUGCCUAAUACAUGCAAGUCGAACGAUGAAGCUUCUAGCUUGCUAGAAGUGGAUUAGUGGCGCACGGGUGAGUAAUGCAUAGGUAACAUGCCCUUUAGUCUGGGAUAGCCACUGGAAACGGUGAUUAAUACUAGAUAUUCCCUACGGGGGAAAGUUUUUCGCUAAAGGAUUGGCCUAUGUCCUAUCAGCUUGUUGGUGAGGUAAUGGCUCACCAAGGCUAUGACGGGUAUCCGGCCUGAGAGGGUGAUCGGACACACUGGAACUGAGACACGGUCCAGACUCCUACGGGAGGCAGCAGUAGGGAAUAUUGCUCAAUGGGGGAAACCCUGAAGCAGCAACGCCGCGUGGAGGAUGAAGGUUUUCGGAUUGUAAACUCCUUUUGUUAGAGAAGAUAAUGACGGUAUCUAACGAAUAAGCACCGGCUAACUCCGUGCCAGCAGCCGCGGUAAUACGGAGGGUGCAAGCGUUACUCGGAAUCACUGGGCGUAAAGAGCGCGUAGGCGGGGUAGCAAGUCAGAUGUGAAAUCCUAUGGCUUAACCAUAGAACUGCAUUUGAAACUGUUACUCUAGAGUAUGGGAGAGGUAGGUGGAAUUCUUGGUGUAGGGGUAAAAUCCGUAGAGAUCAAGAGGAAUACUCAUUGCGAAGGCGACCUGCUGGAACAUUACUGACGCUGAUGCGCGAAAGCGUGGGGAGCAAACAGGAUUAGAUACCCUGGUAGUCCACGCCCUAAACGAUGAAUGCUAGUUGUUGUGAGGCUUGUCCUUGCAGUAAUGCAGCUAACGCAUUAAGCAUUCCGCCUGGGGAGUACGGUCGCAAGAUUAAAACUCAAAGGAAUAGACGGGGACCCGCACAAGCGGUGGAGCAUGUGGUUUAAUUCGAAGAUACGCGAAGAACCUUACCUAGGCUUGACAUUGAUAGAAUCUACUAGAGAUAGUGGAGUGCCCUUUUAGGGAGCUUGAAAACAGGUGCUGCACGGCUGUCGUCAGCUCGUGUCGUGAGAUGUUGGGUUAAGUCCCGCAACGAGCGCAACCCUCGUCCUUAGUUGCUAGCAGUUCGGCUGAGCACUCUAAGGAGACUGCCUUCGUAAGGAGGAGGAAGGUGAGGACGACGUCAAGUCAUCAUGGCCCUUACGCCUAGGGCUACACACGUGCUACAAUGGGGUGCACAAAGAGAUGCAAUACUGUGAAGUGGAGCCAAUCUCAAAAACAUCUCUCAGUUCGGAUUGUAGUCUGCAACUCGACUACAUGAAGCUGGAAUCGCUAGUAAUCGUGAAUCAGCCAUGUCACGGUGAAUACGUUCCCGGGUCUUGUACUCACCGCCCGUCACACCAUGGGAGUUGUAUUCGCCUUAAGUCGGAAUACUAAACUAGUUACCGCCCACGGCGGAUGCAGC